CACCGUUCCACGACAGCAGGUCGCCAUGAAGCGGUUCGCCAUCCUCUUCAGCGCCAUGAACAUCGUCAGCUGGGGCUUCCCCCACGGGAUCGGCUAUGGAAAUGUUGGAAUUUACCCCAACGGGGGCGUGGCUCCCCUCGGAUAUCCCUUGGGCGGAGGACUUCCCCUUCAUGCUCCCUGGCAGGGCGGACUUCCUGUUAAUUCCCCCUGGCAGGGCGGAGUUCCCGCUCAUGCUCCCUGGCAGAGCGGACUCAUCUAUGCACCCCCAAGCCCCGGCGUAGCCAGGGGAUCUGCCCAGGGCAAUGUGGUUACGGGUCAAACUCUGGGCCCGGCCGGCUUGUCUUCAAUCACCAACGUUAAAGCCACAGCACAGGGUUUCGCCGCGAACGGCGGCCGCAGCGAAAACUCAGCGUAUGCCAACAAUGCGCAGCUCGGCGGCCUCCUGGGCCAGAGCUCGACCUCCGACGCUGGAGCUGUCUCCAACCAGUCCGGCGGGGGAGGCUACUUUUGGUAGCAAACAGAUGGCGGUCGCGACCAGCGCCGGACUGGAGCACGGUGCUCUUGACGAUUGGAAAACCGAGAAUAGUUUUAGACUGGUGGAAGAUAGCGUUACCUAAGAGGGAUCCUGAACACCAAGCCUUUCGUGGAAGCCACAUAUAUCCAAGCAAGUCCGAAACUUCACAAAUGUGUUGUCAUAUCGAACUUCUGAGGAACAACCGCUGGAUAGCGAGUGACAUUGUUUGAAGGUCGCUGACCUAGCCGGAUGACUUCUCGUCAUACACUGAGUCCGCGGUAUGUCAGGGCGUGUCUCGAGAUACGAGUGUAACAAUGAUCACCACAGUCAAAUUUCCCCCUCUUGUUUAUGCAUGAUAAUGUCCUAUGCUGUUUGUAUAUUAAGAAUAAAAAGCUCGCAUUGUCCUGUAUGGUAUCGCUACCACUUAACUUCAAAGGGUAUGUUCUACAUUUGAAGAUAGCAAAACAAUUAUCAGAUAGGAUCAAAUAAUGGUUUACUUUUAAGUGAAAAAACUGCUUUA
This 1034-nucleotide long non-coding RNA is filed under the name Pollicipes pollicipes. RNAcentral describes it as "uncharacterized LOC119095885". Lineage: Eukaryota; Metazoa; Arthropoda; Thecostraca; Pollicipedomorpha; Pollicipedidae. The record is from RNAcentral.